AGUGAACGCUGGCGGUAGGCCUAACACAUGCAAGUCGAACGGCAGCACAGUAAGAGCUUGCUCUUACGGGUGGCGAGUGGCGGACGGGUGAGGAAUACAUCGGAAUCUACUUUUUGGGGGGGGUUACGGUGGGGAAACUUACGUAAAUACCCAAUCCGCCCUCCGGGUGAAAGCAGGGGAUCUUGGACCUUUGCCGGUUUAAUGGAGCCGAUGUCGGAUUAGCUAGUUGGCGGGGUAAAGGCCCACCAAGGCGACGAUCCGUAGCUGGUCUGAGAGGAUGAUCAGCCACACUGGAACUGAGACACGGUCCAGACUCCUACGGGAGGCAGCAGUGGGGAAUAUUGGACAAUGGGCGCAAGCCUGAUCCAGCCAUACCGCGUGGGUGAAGAAGGCCUUCGGGUUGUAAAGCCCUUUUGUUGGGAAAGAAAAGCAGCAGGUUAAUACCCCGCUGUUCUGACGGUACCCAAAGAAUAAGCACCGGCUAACUUCGUG
This 492-nucleotide ribosomal RNA is filed under the name uncultured bacterium. RNAcentral's name for it is "partial 16S ribosomal RNA". It matches the Rfam family "Bacterial small subunit ribosomal RNA", at positions 29 to 507 of the family's 1533-position model. The record is from RNAcentral.